UUUGCUUCUCUCUCUUCCAGAUUAUUUCACAUAUUCUGACAUAACCCAAGAAAACAACAGAUGGCAACUUCAUCCAAGUGGGUGUUAUCCACUGGGACUGCAAAACAGGAGCUUGUUUUUCAGUAACUUCCUGCCUUUCAGGUUAAAAGUUGCAGAACUUACUGCGGUGCUCUAAUUUAGAGCAGCACUGGGCAACCCAGGAUAUGCACUGUCACCGCAGAAAGCAUCAAUACCUUGUUGAGAUGAGGAAGGCUUUUGUACCAGAUCCAGGAGGAUUGUGGCUUGGUUCCUGAUCCAUCUGCUCUGAAGAAGCACAGAACGUACAUCAGUGUCUUUGAAGUGCUCUCUGGUCAUGAAGGAGAAAUAAAGAGGGGAAAGUCUGGCUCAACC
Molecule: long non-coding RNA, 390 nt
Organism: Haemorhous mexicanus (house finch)
Lineage: Eukaryota; Metazoa; Chordata; Aves; Passeriformes; Fringillidae
Exons: 3
Source: RefSeq, a predicted model, not a curated record